GUCUAUGGUCAUGCUACCCUGAACAAGCCCUAUCCCGUCUGAUUUCGGAAACUAAGCAGGUUUGGGUCUGGUUAGUACUUGGAUGAGAGACCACCUAGGAAGAACAGGUGCUGUAGGUG
Molecule: ribosomal RNA, 119 nt
Filed under: Pteropus vampyrus (large flying fox)
Lineage: Eukaryota; Metazoa; Chordata; Mammalia; Chiroptera; Pteropodidae
Source: RNAcentral